CCUAAGGUAGCGAAAUUCCUUGUCGGGUAAGUUCCGACCCGCACGAAAGGCGUAACGAUUUGGGCACUGUCUCAACAACAGACUCGGUGAAAUUGUAAUUCCGGGGAAGAUGCCGGAUACCUGCGACAGGACGGAAAGACCCCAUGGAGCUUUACUGUAGCUUGACAUUGGGUCUUGGUACUACAUGUACAGGAUAGGUGGGAGGCUU
Molecule: ribosomal RNA, 208 nt
Filed under: Clostridioides difficile
Lineage: Bacteria; Bacillati; Bacillota; Clostridia; Peptostreptococcales; Peptostreptococcaceae
Description: partial 23S ribosomal RNA
Rfam family: Bacterial large subunit ribosomal RNA
Source: RNAcentral